RNAcentral lists this long non-coding RNA (448 nucleotides) under Trifolium pratense (red clover). RNAcentral's name for it is "long non-coding RNA (TPRA_LNC013864)". Lineage: Eukaryota; Viridiplantae; Streptophyta; Magnoliopsida; Fabales; Fabaceae. The record is from RNAcentral.
UUUAUUUUUUGAAAUUUGCAAUGAAAGGCAAAUAUGGAACUUGAAAGCUUGGUUCUCUGCCAGUUUCAAUUUGAAGGAAAAAGUGGAGAUAAUUGUUGAUGAAGAGGUGUUGUUACCAAAAUUAACAAUAUGGAAUUCAUUGACUAAUAACUUUACACAACAUGGGAUACACGGUGAGUUUUUCAAACACUUUAAUGGCAUGAAGCUGCUAGGACAACUGUGUUUGAAGAAUUUUAUUAGCUUACUCUCAGGGUGCAUUAAUCAAUAUGUCUUGCAAAAUGUGAAAAACAUGCAUUCUUAUGUUUUUACUUGUGAUUUUCAAACUGGGUUAAUAUGUGUUGCUUACUGGAUAACGGUUCCACACCCAUUACAUUGGAGAUACAUUGCUGCAAAGAAUGGUGAAACGUUUGCAAUUAUUGUGGCUUCUCGGGUUACAAUUGGAGUGUCA